This 37-nucleotide small RNA is filed under the name Propionibacterium australiense. RNAcentral's name for it is "CRISPR_Spacer". Lineage: Bacteria; Bacillati; Actinomycetota; Actinomycetes; Propionibacteriales; Propionibacteriaceae. The record is from RNAcentral.
UCGGCCUCGAGUACAACGCCUCCGAGGAGGCUUGGGC